Molecule: small nucleolar RNA, 135 nt
Organism: Bison bison bison
Lineage: Eukaryota; Metazoa; Chordata; Mammalia; Artiodactyla; Bovidae
Source: Ensembl
UGUCCCUGACCUGGGUAGAGUGGCACCUGGUUGGUGGCACCUGUCUCAUAACAGUAAGGGACAAAACAACCCCUUGUUUAUCCCAGUUUGGCUUUUGCUCUGUGCCCAUGCCUGGUUCAUUCCCUGGACACAUGG